AAUUGUUCGCAAUGGGCGCAAGCCUGACGACGCAACGCCGCGUGGAGGAUGAAGAUUUUCGGAUCGUAAACUCCUGUCGAAUGGGACGAAUAGAUUGCGGGUUAACAGCCCGUAGUCCUGACGGUACCGUUAAAGGAAACCCCGGCUAACUCCGUGCCAGCAGCCGCGCUAAUACGGAGGGUGCGCGCGUUGUCCGGAAUCACUGGGCGUAAAGGGCGCGUAGGUGGCCGAGCAAGGUCGCGGUGAAAGCCCGGGGCUCAACCCCGGGUCGGCCGUGGCAACUACUUGGCUUGAGCACUGUAGGGGCGGGUGGAAUUCCGGGUGUAGCGGUGGAAUGCGUAGAGAUCCGGAAGAACACCGGUGGCGAAGGCGGCCCGCUGGGCAGGAAGACGGGCGCAAGUCCGUCGGCUGACACUGAGGCGCGACAGCGUGGGGAGCAAAC
This 442-nucleotide ribosomal RNA is filed under the name uncultured bacterium. RNAcentral describes it as "bacterial SSU rRNA". It matches the Rfam family "Bacterial small subunit ribosomal RNA", at positions 360 to 773 of the family's 1533-position model. The record is from RNAcentral.